ACUCCAAGAAGAGGCUAGCAGUUACCAAAGGGAAGGGCGUGGAGAGGCUGUUGAAAUAAUUAAUGACACUCUGAGCCCCAUCAAGAUUUGGAGAUGUUUCAAAUACCCAGGACAAUGCUAUCCACGGCCCCUCUGGGUACUGAGGUGACAGUACCUGCACAGAGGAUCGGUGGCCCAAGAGGAGACUUCCUGGCUGGCGUAGAGCACCUCGACUCCACAAACCCAACGAACCAACAGAGAGGAGGGUCAGCAGCCCACUGGACACGCAGGGACUUCAGCCGGGAUUCUUGGGGUCCUGAGCUAUCUUCGCCUGGUGAGGAGGGCCCCAUUUGCACAACACUGGAAAGAGGAACCUGUGGUCCUUAUUUUUCAUGUGCCCUGCCCCACAUGGAUUUCCCACUCAUCCUGCCUGGCCCUGUGCCCUGGGAGGCUAACCUGUGCAGACUGCCCUCCCCAGCCUCCCUUGCUGCCUGUCUUCUUCUCAGUUUGGCCAGUGAGGAUCACUGACAUGAUGCUGGAAGGUAAUGAGAAGAGAGCUCAAGUGCUGCAGUCAAAACAUAUAAAAAAAAAAAACGCUGGAUUCCUGGAUUACAGACAUUCCCCUCAGCUCCCUGGUGAUCCUCGGAGCAGAAGCUCCCUUCCUGUCCUGGCUGCCGGCCCUGCUCACAGCUGUUCCCGGGUGGAAGAAAUUAAGAACCUCUGCCUUGCUUUCCAGGAGCUUUUUCCCUUGGAUUCAUGUUCUGCAAUCCUUCCUCUCCCCACGUCCCUCCCUCUGCUACCCGCCUGCUCCCCCCAUCAGACUUUGAGAUUAGAACAACUAGCCUGCCUGAAAUCCUAUUUGGUACAAUAAUGUCUCCAUGUCUUUAAUUUUUUUCCAAGUUUUUCUAAUCUAAGGUCCAGUGUCUUUCUGACAAAGAGAACAUUCAGAGAACUAAUUUCUAUUUCACAUGUUCACAAUAUAAUGUGAUGCUCUGCCCCCAAUGCUUACUGCAUUAUGCUUUCACUAAAUAUACUCACAGCUGCCAAUUUUCAUGUGCCUCUUAACACUUGGAAUUGGAAUGCUGCCUUUAAUAGAACUCACCACUUUCCCCAAGUUAAUAUCCACUUACCACUCUAGAUGAGAAGGGGGUCUUUAAUUUCCACAAACUGGGGGCAGAUUCCUGCCCUGUAAACCCCUCUGGGACAUAAGUUCAUUCACUCCUUAGGGAGAAAUAAAGACAUAUCUAUGUGCUCUGUUC
Manis javanica (Malayan pangolin) is the source of this 1238-nucleotide non-coding RNA. Lineage: Eukaryota; Metazoa; Chordata; Mammalia; Pholidota; Manidae. The record is from RefSeq and is a predicted model, not a curated record.